GCCUCUAUAUUUUAGUGGUAGAAGCCGUGCCUCGUAUACAAAGUUGUCGCUUCACUGCGAUAGAGAGCUUGUUAGCAUGUGGCCCGUGUUCGAUUCACGGUGGAGGCA
Molecule: non-coding RNA, 108 nt
Organism: Tilletiaria anomala UBC 951
Lineage: Eukaryota; Fungi; Basidiomycota; Exobasidiomycetes; Georgefischeriales; Tilletiariaceae
Source: the annotation of a RefSeq genome assembly